UUAAACUUUUUUUCUUUAUAAAUUACCCAGUCUCAAGUAUUUCUUUAUAGCAAUUCGAGAAUGGCCUAACACGGGCCCCUUCUGUGUUGCUACUUUGCCAUUACCACAGUGUGUCUUCCCCCUCCAGCCAGCAAGUCGGAGGAAAGGGUGAAGAAGAGCAAACCUGCUCCCCGAACGACGCUUCCUUGGAAAUGAUAUGCAUGUACAAACACGUGCACACACAUGCGUGCACACCCAUAAGCAAACAUACAUACUUCCCAUUGGCCAGAACUUAAUCACAUGGGCACACCCAAGAGCAAAGAAGGCUGGGAAAUGUAGCCUGUGCCAAGUGACCACACACCCAGCUACAAACGGUCACCAGUUUCAAGAUUUGUACAUCCUGGUGUCACGGUGAAAAGCCUAUUGGUGGCAAGCACAUAAGGCACGUGGGAUGGCCAGGGGCCUCCAGCACAGGAAGGCCCCGAGUGAAAGCCUAGCAGAGUUAAGCGACUGUACGACAUGCUGAAAGGGAUCAGUGAUUUCUCCUGCAGCCAGUUCCAACCUGCUGAAAGGAACACUGAGAAAAUAUAUGGACUCAGUAAACCUGAGCUGCCUCCAAUGGCCUCACUCACUCCAACCCUCAACUUUGCAAUGCUGGAAUGUGAGUCACCUUUAAGAUCAUUUCAUUUAUCUUGGCCAAGCCUUUAAAUAUUUAGGUCUACAUCAAAUAAUGUCUGAUAAAAGCUUAGCGCUUUUCACAGCAAAGAACAAAACGUAAUUUUGAACCACCACAGCUGAAAAAAGGGAUGUUAUUAGCCAAGACAGGGGCCCCAGUUCAGCAGCCUACCUCCCGUGACCCAGUGAUACACAGCUAAGGAAGUGUGGGGCUUGUGGGACCUGUUUGGUUCCUGACGUUCCCAGAGAACAAUAUCCUGAAGCAGAAACAAGACGUGGUUUCCGGUUUUUGUUUUUGUUUUGAGACGGAAUCUUGCUUUGUCACCCUGGCUGGAAUGCAGUGGCAUGAUCACAGCUCACUGCAGACGCGACCUCCUGGGCGCAAAUGAUCCUCCCCCCUCAGCCCCCCAAGUAGCUGAGACUAUAGG
This 1082-nucleotide long non-coding RNA is filed under the name Homo sapiens (human). RNAcentral's name for it is "HSALNT0391808". Lineage: Eukaryota; Metazoa; Chordata; Mammalia; Primates; Hominidae. The record is from RNAcentral.